RNAcentral lists this long non-coding RNA (401 nucleotides) under Brassica napus (rape). Its description in RNAcentral is "long non-coding RNA (BNAP_LNC020181)". Lineage: Eukaryota; Viridiplantae; Streptophyta; Magnoliopsida; Brassicales; Brassicaceae. The record is from RNAcentral.
UUGAGGUGCAUUAUUAACAUUAAACCUUGCUCUCAUGUGUGAUUAACAACUUUGCCAUUGCUUAGGUGUUCUCACUAGAAUCCACCUCACAUCCUUUAUUGAAUAACCUCUCUUACCUAGACUAAUUACAUGUUAUGUCAUUGCCAAAUAAUACUAGAAAACAAAUAUAAUAUAUGUUUCAUUUUAUGCAUCGUUUUCCAAUGUUUAAAACCGGACCGGCUAGCGAACCGAAAUUCUUUUGGGUCAUAGGUCAUUGUGGUUCGACCGGUCUGAACCGGGUUCGAUCGGUCUGGACCGGGUUCGAUCGGGUUUACUUAGAUUAAACUAAAUUUAAUAAUAUUUUAUAAAUAAUAUUCAUAUUUUAUAAAUAAUAUUCAUAUUUUAAAAAAAAAAAAUAGAUC